UUAACGGCCCUCUUUAGGGCCACAAAUAUCCACAAAAUCCUAUCUU
This is a non-coding RNA of Caenorhabditis remanei, 46 nucleotides long. NCBI's taxonomy places the organism in Eukaryota, Metazoa, Nematoda, Chromadorea, Rhabditida, Rhabditidae. The record is from Rfam.